Pelobates cultripes (western spadefoot toad) is the source of this 831-nucleotide non-coding RNA. The record is from the annotation of a GenBank genome assembly. NCBI's taxonomy places the organism in Eukaryota, Metazoa, Chordata, Amphibia, Anura, Pelobatidae.
ACUACUCUUACAGUCUUCCAAAGUUAGGUUAUGUAUCCAGACACCAAGGAUUCGUUAAUUAGGGUUGUGACAGGUUUAGCAAUUGCUGGCACACUGAGCUUCAACAGCAUUGCUAGGAUUUGAUCAGGUCCAGACUGUUUUUUCAUUUUAAGAUUAUUAAGGUGUUUUUUAAUGACACUAAUAGGUACAGGUCUAAAUAUGAACUUGUCUAUAUUGGGUCUUUGCAAAUUUAAUGGGGCCUGAUCCACAUUUGUAGUUUCCAGAUGUGUGUCAUUUAUUAGCUUGGCAAUCAGGGUAGUGGAGCAUCCGACAAAAUAAUUGUUAAAGGCAUUUGCUACAUCUAAGGGAAGUUGCAGGGUUUGGUUAUCCACUUUGACAGUUUAGGGUUCGGAGUGGAUUGGGGGAGUUUGUAAUUUAUUUAUGACUUUCCAAAGGUUUCUAGGGUUUGAUAUGUUAUUGUUCAGAUUUUCACAGAAAUAUUGGGCCUUGGCCAAUUUUGUUUGCUUUGUGCAUAUAUUUCGCCAGUUGUCUAUAUGCACAGUGAUCGUUCAUAGAGCCAGUACGCUUGAACUUUGACCACAAUGAAUCCCGAAACUGGUACAUUUGGAUGAGGUCAGCUGUGAUCCAGUUCACAUGUGCUCAUUUUACUCUCACCUUACCUUUUGGAUUUUGAGCUAUGGUUUCAUUCCCUGUGCUAUGUCAGAUAGGGAAUGCACUGGGGAGCUAAGUGGGCUGUAGAUUCCUGCAACAAUGAUUGAUUUGCUGCACGGGAUCUCAAUUGAGCUAGAAAGGAAAUCAAAGUUGGCAGGAGGGCUAAAGUUUUGUAAGGGG